GCCCUGAUGGUGAAACGGACAUCAUCCCUCGCUUCUACCGAGGAGUUCCGGGUUCAAGUCCUGGUCGGGGUA
RNAcentral lists this transfer RNA (72 nucleotides) under Planctomycetota bacterium. Its description in RNAcentral is "Planctomycetes bacterium (activated sludge metagenome) tRNA-Arg". It matches the Rfam family "tRNA". Rfam says of the family: Transfer RNA (tRNA) molecules are approximately 80 nucleotides in length. The record is from RNAcentral. Lineage: Bacteria; Pseudomonadati; Planctomycetota.